UACGUAGGGGGCAAGCGUUGUCCGGAUUUAUUGGGCGUAAAGAGCGUGUAGGCGGCCAGACAGGUCCGUUGUGAAAACUCGAGGCUCAACCUCGAGACGCCGAUGGAAACCGUCUGGCUAGAGUCCGGAAGAGGAGAGUGGAAUUCCUGGUGUAGCGGUGAAAUGCGCAGAUAUCAGGAGGAACACCAAUUGCGAAGGCAGCUCGCUGGAACGUAACUGACGCUGAGACGCGAAAGCGUGGGGAGCAAACAGG
Molecule: ribosomal RNA, 253 nt
Filed under: uncultured bacterium
Lineage: Bacteria
Description: partial 16S ribosomal RNA
Rfam family: Bacterial small subunit ribosomal RNA
Source: RNAcentral